GAUGAACGCUGGCGGCGUGCCUAAUACAUGCAAGUCGAGCGAACGGACGAGAAGCUUGUUUCUCUGAUGUUAGCGGCGGACGGGUGAGUAAUACGUGGAUAACCUCCUUAUAAGACUGGGAUAAUUUCGGGAAACCGGAGCUAAUACCGGAUAAUAUUUUGAACCGCAUGGUUCAAAAGUGAAAGACGGUCUUGCUGUCACUGAUAGAUGGAUUCGCGCUGUAUUAGCUAGUUGGUAAGGUAACGGCUUACCAAGGCAACGAUGCAUAGCCGACCUGAGAGGGUGAUCGGCCACACUGGAACUGAGACACGGUCCAGACUCCUACGGGAGGCAGCAGUAGGGAAUCUUCCUGAAUGGUCGGAAGCCUGACGGAGCAACGCCGCGGGAGUGAUGAAGGUCUUCGGAUCGUAGAACUCUGUUACUAGGGAAGAACAUAUGUUUAAGUAACUGUGCACAUCUUGACGGUACCUAAUCAGGAAGCCACGGCUAACUACGUG
RNAcentral lists this ribosomal RNA (497 nucleotides) under uncultured bacterium. Its description in RNAcentral is "partial 16S ribosomal RNA". It matches the Rfam family "Bacterial small subunit ribosomal RNA", at positions 28 to 507 of the family's 1533-position model. The record is from RNAcentral.